Molecule: ribosomal RNA, 2325 nt
Filed under: Escherichia coli
Lineage: Bacteria; Pseudomonadati; Pseudomonadota; Gammaproteobacteria; Enterobacterales; Enterobacteriaceae
Description: partial 23S ribosomal RNA
Rfam family: Bacterial large subunit ribosomal RNA
Source: RNAcentral
UGUAUAAUGGGUCAGCGACUUAUAUUCUGUAGCAAGGUUAACCGAAUAGGGGAGCCGAAGGGAAACCGAGUCUUAACUGGGCGUUAAGUUGCAGGGUAUAGACCCGAAACCCGGUGAUCUAGCCAUGGGCAGGUUGAAGGUUGGGUAACACUAACUGGAGGACCGAACCGACUAAUGUUGAAAAAUUAGCGGAUGACUUGUGGCUGGGGGUGAAAGGCCAAUCAAACCGGGAGAUAGCUGGUUCUCCCCGAAAGCUAUUUAGGUAGCGCCUCGUGAACUCAUCUCCGGGGGUAGAGCACUGUUUCGGCAAGGGGGUCAUCCCGACUUACCAACCCGAUGCAAACUGCGAAUACCGGAGAAUGUUAUCACGGGAGACACACGGCGGGUGCUAACGUCCGUCGUGAAGAGGGAAACAACCCAGACCGCCAGCUAAGGUCCCAAAGUCAUGGUUAAGUGGGAAACGAUGUGGGAAGGCCCAGACAGCCAGGAUGUUGGCUUAGAAGCAGCCAUCAUUUAAAGAAAGCGUAAUAGCUCACUGGUCGAGUCGGCCUGCGCGGAAGAUGUAACGGGGCUAAACCAUGCACCGAAGCUGCGGCAGCGACACUGUGUGUUGUUGGGUAGGGGAGCGUUCUGUAAGCCUGUGAAGGUGUACUGUGAGGUAUGCUGGAGGUAUCAGAAGUGCGAAUGCUGACAUAAGUAACGAUAAAGCGGGUGAAAAGCCCGCUCGCCGGAAGACCAAGGGUUCCUGUCCAACGUUAAUCGGGGCAGGGUGAGUCGACCCCUAAGGCGAGGCCGAAAGGCGUAGUCGAUGGGAAACAGGUUAAUAUUCCUGUACUUGGUGUUACUGCGAAGGGGGGACGGAGAAGGCUAUGUUGGCCGGGCGACGGUUGUCCCGGUUUAAGCGUGUAGGCUGGUUUUCCAGGCAAAUCCGGAAAAUCAAGGCUGAGGCGUGAUGACGAGGCACUACGGUGCUGAAGCAACAAAUGCCCUGCUUCCAGGAAAAGCCUCUAAGCAUCAGGUAACAUCAAAUCGUACCCCAAACCGACACAGGUGGUCAGGUAGAGAAUACCAAGGCGCUUGAGAGAACUCGGGUGAAGGAACUAGGCAAAAUGGUGCCGUAACUUCGGGAGAAGGCACGCUGAUAUGUAGGUGAAGCGACUUGCUCGUGGAGCUGAAAUCAGUCGAAGAUACCAGCUGGCUGCAACUGUUUAUUAAAAACACAGCACUGUGCAAACACGAAAGUGGACGUAUACGGUGUGACGCCUGCCCGGUGCCGGAAGGUUAAUUGAUGGGGUUAGCGCAAGCGAAGCUCUUGAUCGAAGCCCCGGUAAACGGCGGCCGUAACUAUAACGGUCCUAAGGUAGCGAAAUUCCUUGUCGGGUAAGUUCCGACCUGCACGAAUGGCGUAAUGAUGGCCAGGCUGUCUCCACCCGAGACUCAGUGAAAUUGAACUCGCUGUGAAGAUGCAGUGUACCCGCGGCAAGACGGAAAGACCCCGUGAACCUUUACUAUAGCUUGACACUGAACAUUGAGCCUUGAUGUGUAGGAUAGGUGGGAGGCUUUGAAGUGUGGACGCCAGUCUGCAUGGAGCCGACCUUGAAAUACCACCCUUUAAUGUUUGAUGUUCUAACGUGGACCCGUGAUCCGGGUUGCGGACAGUGUCUGGUGGGUAGUUUGACUGGGGCGGUCUCCUCCUAAAGAGUAACGGAGGAGCACGAAGGUUGGCUAAUCCUGGUCGGACAUCAGGAGGUUAGUGCAAUGGCAUAAGCCAGCUUGACUGCGAGCGUGACGGCGCGAGCAGGUGCGAAAGCAGGUCAUAGUGAUCCGGUGGUUCUGAAUGGAAGGGCCAUCGCUCAACGGAUAAAAGGUACUCCGGGGAUAACAGGCUGAUACCGCCCAAGAGUUCAUAUCGACGGCGGUGUUUGGCACCUCGAUGUCGGCUCAUCACAUCCUGGGGCUGAAGUAGGUCCCAAGGGUAUGGCUGUUCGCCAUUUAAAGUGGUACGCGAGCUGGGUUUAGAACGUCGUGAGACAGUUCGGUCCCUAUCUGCCGUGGGCGCUGGAGAACUGAGGGGGGCUGCUCCUAGUACGAGAGGACCGGAGUGGACGCAUCACUGGUGUUCGGGUUGUCAUGCCAAUGGCACUGCCCGGUAGCUAAAUGCGGAAGAGAUAAGUGCUGAAAGCAUCUAAGCACGAAACUUGCCCCGAGAUGAGUUCUCCCUGACCCUUUAAGGGUCCUGAAGGAACGUUGAAGACGACGACGUUGAUAGGCCGGGUGUGUAAGCGCAGCGAUGCGUUGAGCUAACCGGUACUAAUGAACCGUGAG